Molecule: ribosomal RNA, 262 nt
Filed under: uncultured bacterium
Lineage: Bacteria
Description: partial 16S ribosomal RNA
Rfam family: Bacterial small subunit ribosomal RNA
Source: RNAcentral
ACGAACGCUGGCGGCGUGCUUAACACAUGCAAGUCGAACGGAAAGGCCCUGCUUUUGUGGGGUGCUCGAGUGGCGAACGGGUGAGUAACACGUGAGUAACCUGCCCUUGACUUUGGGAUAACUUCAGGAAACUGGGGCUAAUACCGGAUAGGAGCUCCUGCUGCAUGGUGGGGGUUGGAAAGUUUCGGCGGUUGGGGAUGGACUCGCGGCUUAUCAGCUUGUUGGUGGGGUAGUGGCUUACCAAGGCUUUGACGGGUAGCCG